GCCGAAUGUCCAAGGGUUCCUGGGGAAGGUUCAUCCGCCCAGGGUAAGUCGGGACCUAAGGCGAGGCCGAGAGGCGUAGUCGAUGGACAACAGGUUGAUAUUCCUGUACCGGUUCCACACCGCCCACAGCCGAACCCAGUCUGCUAAGGGAACCCCUUCGGGGGCUACCGACCCGGCUGGUAGUAGGCUAGCGAUGGGGUGACGCAGGAGGGUAUGGCAUCCCCGGCGAUGGUUGUCCGGGGGUAAGUGUGUAGGCCGCGACCUAGGCAAAUCCGGGUCGCACACGGCUGAGGCACGACGCCGACACGUGAAGUGGAAGUGCCAAAUCCCAUGCUGCCGAGAAAAGCCUCUAGCGAGGUGUGGAGCCGCCCGUACCCCAAACCGACUCAGGUGGACAGGUAGAGAAUACCGAGGCGAUCGAGCGAACCCUGGUUAAGGAACUCGGCAAAUUGGCCCCGUAACUUCGGGAGAAGGGGUGCCCCUCGCGGUGUAGGACCUCGCGUCCGAAGCUGCAGGGGGCCGCAGUGACCAGGCCCAAGCGACUGUUUACUAAAAACACAGGUCCAUGCGAAGUCGUAAGACGAUGUAUAUGGACUGACGCCUGCCCGGUGCUGGAACGUUACGUGGAGGGGUUAGCCUCCGGGCGAAGCCCCGAAACUAAGCGCCAGUAAACGGCGGCCGUAACUAUAACGGUCCUAAGGUAGCGAAAUUCCUUGUCGGGUAAGUUCCGACCUGCACGAAUGGCGUAACGACUUGGGCGCUGUCUCAACCAUGAGCUCGGUGAAAUUGUAGUCACGGUGAAGAUGCCGUGUACCCGUCACGGGACGGAAAGACCCCAUGAACCUUUACUAUAGCUUCGCAUUGACAUUGGGUAGAUGAUGUGUAGGAUAGGUGGGAGGCAAUGAUCCGCAGCCGCCAGGUUGCGGGGAGCCGCCGGUGAAAUACCACCCUUUAUCUAUCUGAUGUCUAACCCCGGGAACGGGGGACAGUGCGUGGUGGGUAGUUUGACUGGGGUGGUCGCCUCCGAAAGUGUAUCGGAGGCUUUCAAAGGUACCCUCAGCACGCUUGGUAACCGUGCGUGGAGUGCAAUAGCAUAAGGGUGCUUGACUGUGAGACAGACGUGUCGAUCAGGGACGAAAGUCGGAUAUAGUGAUCCGGUGGUUCUGCAUGGAAGGGCCAUCGCUCAAAGGAUAAAAGGUACUCUGGGGAUAACAGGCUGAUCUCCCCCAAGAGCUCACAUCGACGGGGAGGUUUGGCACCUCGAUGUCGGCUCGUCACAUCCUGG
Molecule: ribosomal RNA, 1285 nt
Filed under: compost metagenome
Description: bacterial LSU rRNA
Rfam family: Bacterial large subunit ribosomal RNA
Source: RNAcentral